GAUGAACGCUGGCGGCGUGCCUAAUACAUGCCAGUCGAGCGAACAGACGAGGAGCUUGCUCCUCUGACGUUAGCGGCGGACGGGUGAGUAACACGUGGAUAACCUACCUAUAAGACUGGGAUAACUUCGGGAAACCGGAGCUAAUACCGGAUAAUAUAUUGAACCGCAUGGUUCAAUAGUGAAAGACGGUUUUGCUGUCACUUAUAGCUGGAUCCGCGCCGCAUUAGCUGGUUGGUAAGGUAACGGGUUACCAAGGCAACGAUGCGUAGCCGACGUGAGAGGGUGAUCGGCCACACUGGAACUGAGACACGGUCCAGACUCCUACGGGAGGCAGCAGUAGGGAAUCUUCCGCAAUGGGCGAAAGCCUGACGGAGCAACGCCGCGUGAGUGAUGAAGGUCUUCGGAUCGUAAAACUCUGUUAUUAGGGAAGAACAAAUGUGUAAGUAACUAUGCACGUCUUGACGGUACCUAAUCAGAAAGCCACGGCUAACUACGUG
RNAcentral lists this ribosomal RNA (497 nucleotides) under uncultured bacterium. RNAcentral describes it as "partial 16S ribosomal RNA". It matches the Rfam family "Bacterial small subunit ribosomal RNA", at positions 28 to 507 of the family's 1533-position model. The record is from RNAcentral.